RNAcentral lists this ribosomal RNA (484 nucleotides) under uncultured bacterium. Its description in RNAcentral is "partial 16S ribosomal RNA". It matches the Rfam family "Bacterial small subunit ribosomal RNA", at positions 30 to 507 of the family's 1533-position model. The record is from RNAcentral.
AUUGAACGCUGGCGGAAUGCUUUACACAUGCAAGUCGAACGGCAGCACGGGGGCAACCCUGGUGGCGAGUGGCGAACGGGUGAGUAAUACAUCGGAACGUGCCCGGUCGUGGGGGAUAACGUAGCGAAAGUUACGCUAAUACCGCAUACGAUCUGAGGAUGAAAGCGGGGGACCUUCGGGCCUCGCGCGAUCGGAGCGGCCGAUGUCAGAUUAGGUAGUUGGUGGGGUAAAGGCCUACCAAGCCGACGAUCUGUAGCUGGUCUGAGAGGACGACCAGCCACACUGGGACUGAGACACGGCCCAGACUCCUACGGGAGGCAGCAGUGGGGAAUUUUGGACAAUGGGCGCAGGCCUGAUCCAGCCAUUCCGCGUGCAGGACGAAGGCCUUCGGGUUGUAAACUGCUUUUGUAUGGAACGAAAAGGCUCUGGCUAAUACCUGGGGCUCAUGACGGUACCGUAAGAAUAAGCACCGGCUAACUACGUG